This 253-nucleotide ribosomal RNA is filed under the name uncultured bacterium. Its description in RNAcentral is "partial 16S ribosomal RNA". It matches the Rfam family "Bacterial small subunit ribosomal RNA", at positions 524 to 776 of the family's 1533-position model. The record is from RNAcentral.
UACGUAGGGUGCGAGCGUUGCCCGGAUUUAUUGGGCGUAAAGGGCGCGUAGGCGGCCACGCACGUCCGUUGUGAAAUCGCCCGGCUCAACUGGGCGGGGUCAGCGGAUACGGUGUGGCUCGAGCAAGCUAGGGGGUAAUGGAAUUCCCGGUGUAGUGGUGGAAUGCGUAGAUAUCGGGAGGAACACCAGUGGCGAAGGCGGUUGCCUGGAGCUUUGCUGACGCUGAGGCGCGAAAGCGUGGGGAGCGAACAGG